RNA transcript from Cornus florida, 2121 nucleotides. RefSeq lists it as uncharacterized. NCBI's taxonomy places the organism in Eukaryota, Viridiplantae, Streptophyta, Magnoliopsida, Cornales, Cornaceae. The transcript has 4 exons. The record is from RefSeq and is a predicted model, not a curated record.
CCUGAUCCAUCUCCACCUCCACCUCGACAUCGACACUUCAAUCUCAUCGUCAACAUGCCCAAGUCUCAUCGUCUUGUUGCCGGCGAUUCUCCGACGCCUGUCCGAACCUUCAAUGGCUACUCACGUGAGCACGAUGGAUCAGAUUACGGAUUAUCUAGGUAUUCCUCUUCCUGGAUUAGAAUUUUCGAAAAUGGGCUAUGUUGCUGCAUAUUUAAGAGAUCCUGUAAAUUGUUGCAAACCUUCUGUGGCCUCUAUUGGUCAGUAUUUCCGCCAUCUGUCGUUGAAGAUUGGAGACCGAGUGAAGUUGCAGAUGGCGUCUGAUCUUAUCCAAGACAGAUUCUACAUUCAAAUCCAACAUGGAAAAGGUAACUGUGGAAGGUGGUUUUGGCUGGUGAGGAAGAUGACAGCUAGGAGAUGUAUAAGAGAUCUAAUUUUGCUAGAGAAUCAAAUCCCAUGGGCCAAGGCCCUUUUUGGUGCAAAAUUUCGCUCCACAAUGACAAAAAAGGUCAGUGUUACUUAAACUAGAAACAAAUAGAAAGUUUUAUGAUCAAAGAGGUCAGUGCUACUCAGACCAGAACCAAAGGUGAAGUAAGUGUUAUAUUAGAAACUAGAGGGGAGACCCCUAUUCUUUAGGCAAUCUACAGGCCGGGGAGGUCAAUUGAUUAUUUCUAUUUUUGUACUUUUUACCAUCAGAGCUUUAUUUAAUAUAAUAAGGGUAAAUUAGCCUUUAGGUCAAAGUCAGCACACAGGGGAAGGCAGUGUUAUUUUUGAAACCACAUGAGAGAUCCAUGUUACUUAAGCAUUCAAUAGGGGAGUUCAAUGUAAUUUACCCUAUUGUUGAACCGUGAAAUGCUAAGGUAGAUACUUAGCAGCAGAGCCUACUACAGGUGUUUUUCAAUUUUUACAACUGAUAACUUGGCUCUUUGUGUGUAAUAUGACAUUGCAUUUUGCGGACGACAAUCCUUAGAGAACAAUAAGGAUAAGGAGGAUGGGAAGUGCAUAUUUUAAUGAAUAGGCAAUUUAUCAAGUAUGUUAGAACAUUGGUUAAUAGUAAUAGGUUGUCCAUUGUGCCGAGCUUGUUCAAACUUCAUUGCGGAGAAACUUAUGCUGAUUGCUGGCCCUUUUUAAUUUUUAUGUCAGCAACCACCUGUUUUAGAAUAGUUCUUUUCUUUUUUUGUUGUGUUUGCUGUUCUUUACAGGGGUUGUUUUAUUAUCUAAUAUUGUGUGGACAGAAUCUUAUAUUCUUCACUUUAUUUGAACGUCUUAGGUUAAAUGCUUAAAGGAUAUCUAUUGUUUUUGAGAGGUAGCAUAAAGGGUGGUACGUACAUUGUGAGGGAGCAGAGCAGAUCAUUGGUUUAGCAUAUAUAAUGGUUAUCAUGGCUAAGAAAAUGAGUGUUGCCAUACUCAUUUUGCUCCUUAUUACUGUGACGACGACGAUGGCAGACCUGCACCCUCCUUUUAUCCCUUGUUGCCAUGGUGGUGUGACAGACUGCUGCCCCACGACUAUCAAAGAAGGAGAUCCUACUACUGCUGUAAAGGCUCCCAGUGAUCAUCUUUCUUCUAAUUCCCAGGCAAAGGCAAACACACAUAUUCUGCCGCCUGCAGAGCCUUAGAGGAACCCACCGGCUCAGCUCGACUCUCCAUCUGCGUUUCUAGCUACAAGUGAAUUCGGGCUGUGUAUUACGGAGUAAUUUAGUUUGGUGUUAAUCCACUUGUGUUUAAUUUCAGUAUCUACUUUUAUGAUUUUAAACUUGUACUGUGAACUGCCUCACAUACAAUAUAAAAUGUAAUAUGGUGGUGGUUUUGUUUUGUGUGCACGUACAUCUUUGUUUCUACUGCAAAAACGAUGUUCUAUGACGUCAUCAUCAGGAAAGUCUUAUUUACAAAUAAAAUCUUUUUUUUUUUUUUUUUAAGUGUUUUUGAGGCUUUCCCUUUUUUUUCUUUUUUCUUUUUCUAAGCUUCGUGCUACCAUAAUUAAAUUCUAGUGUAGCUAGCUAUAAAUGGAUUGAAGUUGUAGUGCAGCACUUGAUUUAUUGAUCAAGACUGGAAGAUAAAUGAUUGAAAGAAUUCAGAAUUAUUUCCAGGUGUGUUUUUUAAAGGCAAUCCCCAAUACUAUUUAUG